Molecule: long non-coding RNA, 274 nt
Organism: Thunnus maccoyii (southern bluefin tuna)
Lineage: Eukaryota; Metazoa; Chordata; Actinopteri; Scombriformes; Scombridae
Exons: 4
Source: RefSeq, a predicted model, not a curated record
ACUAUUAUGAGUUAUUUAAGUGUAAAGUGACAGACAAAAGCAGAGGAGAAGUGCAGCAGUUUACCUACAGCCCUCCAUCAUCAGUUCGUACAGAUUUUUCUGCUCUGAGCUACGCCACGUUGGUGAUGCAUGUGGCUGAACUCCUCCUCAUCAUCAUUGUGAUUACUAUUCUUCUCUUCAGAGCUCGAGGGAACCAGAGACCACCUGAUGACAACACUGUUUUAAACUCAGGAAGAAGUCGAACAGUGAAGCGUUUUGGUCCAGCAGCCAGUCA